AUGGAUCAGGCGAAGGCUAAAGCUCAUGGUGGUCGCGAGGGUGCUGCUGCUGAUGGCGUACAGCAGCGUGCUCUGGCUACUGCUGGAGUCCAGCGAUGGAAGAGGCUUCAUCGAGAAGAGCAGGAAGAGAAGGAGAUGGUGCAAUCUGCAUGUGCUAAACAUGUGGUUUUUGGCAUCCCCACGCCACCAAACAGCGGCAGCGAGCUCUCCAGUCGCAAGAUGAUUUUUGCUGCCAUGCUUGAGAGUACGGCAGGUAGCAAGAGGCGAUCCCCUGAUGACAAAGACUUCGUGUUAAGCAUGAAUAGUACUAGUACUGGAAGUCUAGAGGUUAGGGAUGCUAUGGAUGUGAGUAUGAAUUGUAAAAGAGUGUGUGUUGAGAGAGUUGGUACUAGAGUAGGCAUAGAUGGGUCUACUAUUCAUGUAACUGAAGAGGUAGAUGGGGGAGUGGAGGUGGAUCAGGACAAAAGAAGAGAGUCUGUAGGGGAUGAAAAAGAUGUAGAGGAUGGAAAAGAUUGUGUGUUGAGAGAGUUGGUACUAGAGUAG
Molecule: ribosomal RNA, 543 nt
Filed under: Triticum aestivum (bread wheat)
Lineage: Eukaryota; Viridiplantae; Streptophyta; Magnoliopsida; Poales; Poaceae
Description: partial small subunit ribosomal RNA
Source: RNAcentral